This 77-nucleotide transfer RNA is filed under the name Deltaproteobacteria bacterium. RNAcentral describes it as "tRNA-Arg". It matches the Rfam family "tRNA". From Rfam's summary of the family: Transfer RNA (tRNA) molecules are approximately 80 nucleotides in length. Their secondary structure includes four short double-helical elements and three loops (D, anti-codon, and T loops). The record is from RNAcentral. Lineage: Bacteria; Pseudomonadati; Myxococcota; Myxococcia.
GCGCCCGUAGCUCAGCUGGAUAGUGCAAUGGACUUCUAAUCCAUAGGCCGCAGGUUCGAAUCUUGCCGGGCGCACCA